UGGCUUCCUGUGGUCAGGAGACUUCUGGCUGGAGGCUUGACCCCACUUUUCCUGAUGAAUGACCUUUAGAGGUGGCUCCAGGCUGCUUGGGUGUGAAGACCCAUGUCAUCAGCAAAAGUGGGAUCCCAGAGCCUACCUGCCAUUCCCAGCAACAAGGAUCAUUCUGAAUGAUAAUUAAGAAUGUAUUUUCCAACAUGGAAGAAUAUCAGGCCUUCAGUAAGCGUGACUUGACAGCCCCCAGGGCGGCCCAGGUCUGAGAGCUGACAGUCAUCAGAACCCCAGCACCACAGGGAGCUAAGAUCACAGAGAAACCCUCAGAGCCGUGCAUCCUUCUUGAAUCAAUCCCUUCGCUUUCUUCCACCAAGCCAGAAAGCAGCCUCAGACUCUGAGCAGCCACUUCCAGUCCCUUGGGGCAGACACCCACGCAGAAGCCUGCUUGCAUUUCUGUCCUGGGAGUGGAGAGAAGAGAGCCCUGUGGCUGUGUAGCCUGGCAAGGCUUUGUGGAAGAGGGGGCCCAACUUCACCUU
Homo sapiens (human) is the source of this 527-nucleotide long non-coding RNA. RefSeq lists it as uncharacterized. The transcript is spliced from 3 exons. The record is from RefSeq and is a predicted model, not a curated record. Lineage: Eukaryota; Metazoa; Chordata; Mammalia; Primates; Hominidae.